This 73-nucleotide transfer RNA is filed under the name Felis catus (domestic cat). It matches the Rfam family "tRNA". Rfam says of the family: Transfer RNA (tRNA) molecules are approximately 80 nucleotides in length. The record is from Rfam by way of RNAcentral. Lineage: Eukaryota; Metazoa; Chordata; Mammalia; Carnivora; Felidae.
GCUGGGAUGGUUCAGUUAGUAGAGCAUGUGACUCUUGAUCUCAGGAUCAUGAGUUCAAGUCCCAUGUUGGGCA